This 496-nucleotide ribosomal RNA is filed under the name uncultured bacterium. RNAcentral describes it as "partial 16S ribosomal RNA". It matches the Rfam family "Bacterial small subunit ribosomal RNA", at positions 28 to 506 of the family's 1533-position model. The record is from RNAcentral.
GAUGAACGCUGGCGGCGUGCCUAAUACAUGCAAGUCGAGCGAACAGAUGAGGAGCUUGCUCCUCUGACGUUAGCGGCGGACGGGUGAGUAACACGUGGAUAACCUACCUAUAAGACUGGGAUAACUUCGGGAAACCGGAGCUAAUACCGGAUAAUAUAUUGAACCGCAUGGUUCAAUAGUGAAAGACGGUUUUGCUGUCACUUAUAGAUGGAUCCGCGCCGCAUUAGCUAGUUGGUAAGGUAACGGCUUACCAAGGCAACGAUGCGUAACCGACCUGGGGGGGGGAUCGGCCACACUGGAACUGAGACCCGGGCCAGACUCCGAAGGGAGGCAGCAGUGGGGAAUCUUCCGCAAUGGGCGAAAGCCUGAGGGAGACACGCCGCGGGGGUGAAGAAGGUCUUCGGAUUGUAAAACUCUUUUAUUGGGGAAGAAAAAAUGUAAAAGAAAACCUUGCCGUUUUGACGGUACCAACAGAAAAAGCCCCGGCUAACUACGG